Molecule: ribosomal RNA, 1353 nt
Filed under: metagenome
Description: bacterial LSU rRNA
Rfam family: Bacterial large subunit ribosomal RNA
Source: RNAcentral
UGAAUACGAAAUGCUACGGCAUUGAAGUGAUCUAUGCCAGGCUUCCAAGAAAAUCUCGUCAUAUCUUAAGCAGUAGAUGCCUGUACCUUAAACCGACACAGGUAGGUAGGUAGAGUAUACCAAGGGGCGCGAGAUAACUCUCUCUAAGGAACUCGGCAAAAUAACCUCGUAACUUCGGAAGAAGAGGUACCCUUGAAAAAGGGUUGCAAUAACCAGACCCUGGCGACUGUUUACCAAAAACACAGGUCUCCGCUAAUUCGUAAGAUCAAGUAUGGAGGCUGACGCCUGCCCAGUGCCGGAAGGUUAAAGAAGUUGGUCAAUCUUUGGAUGAAGCUGGCGACUGAAGCCCCGGUGAGCGGCGGCCGUAACCAUAACGGUCCUAAGGUAGCGAAGUUCCUUGUCGGGUAAGUUCCGACCCGCACGAAAGGCGUAACGAUCAGGGUGCUGUCUCGGAGAGAGACUCGGCGAAAUAGACAUGUCUGUGAAGAUGCGGACUACCUGCACCUGGACAGAAAGACCCUAUGAAGCUUUACUGUAUCUUGGAAUUGGGUUUGGACCUUGCUUGCGCAGGAUAGGUGGGAGGCUGUGAAGAUAUUCUUGCGGGAAUGUUGGAGCCAACGGUGAGAUACCACUCUAGUAAGGCUAAAAUUCUAACUCUGAACCGUUAUCCGGUCAGAGAACAGUUUCAGGUGGGCAGUCUGACUGGGGCGGUCGCCUCCUAAAAGGUAACGGAGGCGCGCAAAGGUUCCCUCAGGCUGGUUGGACAUCAGUCGUAGAGUGUAAAGGCAUAAGGGAGCUUGACUGCGAGACCCACAAGUCGAGCAGAGACGAAAGUCGGCCUUAGUGAUCCGACGGUUCCACGUGGAAGGGCCGUCGCUCAAUGGAUAAAAGUUACUCUAAGGAUAACAGGCUGAUCUCCCCCAAGAGUUCACAUCGACGGGGAGGUUUGGCACCUCGAUGUCGGCUCAUCGCAUCCUGGGGCGGUAGUACGUCCCAAGGGUUGGGCUGUUCGCCCAUGAAAGCGGUACGCGAGCUGGGUUCAGAACGUCGUGAGACAGUUCGGUCCAUAUCCGGUGCAGGCGUUAGAGCAUUGUGAGGAGUCCCCCUUAGUACGAGAGGACCGGGGGGAAUACACCGCUGGUGUACCAGUUAUCGUGCCAACGGUAAACGCUGGGUAGCCAUGUGUAGCGCGGAUAACUGCUGAAAGCAUCUAAGUAGGAAGCCCACCUUAAGAUGAGUGCUCUCACCGCUAUAAGCGGGUAAGGUCACGGUAAGAACAACCGUUAUAUAGGCAUUAAGUAUACGUGCAGUAAUGCAUUUAGCUGAGAUGUACUAACAGACCGAGGGCUUGAC